AUACUAGGAUUCCAGAAAUUGGAAAAUCUACCCGUUCAGAAGAAAGAAACGAUACCCUGAUCACUCCUCCACAGGUACCUGAGGGAAAUCUGUGCGGACAAAACCAACUAAACGUGACAACCCUGAAAAAUGGAAAGAAGUAUCAUUUCUCCAGACGACAGGCGAGUUCUUUAUAUUUUUAAAUCUUUAAAGACUAAAAAAAAAAUGAUCUCUAGGUCGACUGGUACACAGCAAAAGAAAUCUGCGAAAAUAACACAAUGCAUUUGGCCUCCCCGAAAACCAUGGAAGAAUUUAAAACUCUUCGGGACCAUUUGAUGGACAAAGAAAUCUUUGAUUCGAAGUGGCUCUCAGGGUCGGACGUGGGCCGGAUGGGAAAGGGUUUCGUGUGGCGCC
This is a long non-coding RNA of Cloeon dipterum, 393 nucleotides long. RefSeq lists it as uncharacterized. NCBI's taxonomy places the organism in Eukaryota, Metazoa, Arthropoda, Insecta, Ephemeroptera, Baetidae. The record is from RefSeq and is a predicted model, not a curated record. The transcript has 4 exons.